UACGUAGGGGGCUAGCGUUAUCCUGAAUUACUGGGCGUAAAGGGUGCGUAGGUGGUUUCUUAAGUCAGAGGUGAAAGGCUACGGCUCAACCGUAGUAAGCCUUUGAAACUGGGAAACUUGAGUGCAGGAGAGGAGAGUGGAAUUCCUAGUGUAGCGGUGAAAUGCGUAGAUAUUAGGAGGAACACCAGUUGCGAAGGCGGCUCUCUGGACUGUAACUGACACUGAGGCACGAAAGCGUGGGGAGCAAACAGGAUUAGAUACCCUGGUAGUCCCUGA
Molecule: ribosomal RNA, 276 nt
Filed under: uncultured prokaryote
Description: partial 16S ribosomal RNA
Rfam family: Bacterial small subunit ribosomal RNA
Source: RNAcentral